This 1526-nucleotide ribosomal RNA is filed under the name Escherichia coli. RNAcentral's name for it is "partial 23S ribosomal RNA". It matches the Rfam family "Bacterial large subunit ribosomal RNA", at positions 1287 to 2798 of the family's 2925-position model. Lineage: Bacteria; Pseudomonadati; Pseudomonadota; Gammaproteobacteria; Enterobacterales; Enterobacteriaceae. The record is from RNAcentral.
AGUGCGAAUGCUGACAUAAGUAACGAUAAAGCGGGUGAAAAGCCCGCUCGCCGGAAGACCAAGGGUUCCUGUCCAACGUUAAUCGGGGCAGGGUGAGUCGACCCCUAAGGCGAGGCCGAAAGGCGUAGUCGAUGGGAAACAGGUUAAUAUUCCUGUACUUGGUGUUACUGCGAAGGGGGGACGGAGAAGGCUAUGUUGGCCGGGCGACGGUUGUCCCGGUUUAAGCGUGUAGGCUGGUUUUCCAGGCAAAUCCGGAAAAUCAAGGCUGAGGCGUGAUGACGAGGCACUACGGUGCUGAAGCAACAAAUGCCCUGCUUCCAGGAAAAGCCUCUAAGCAUCAGGUAACAUCAAAUCGUACCCCAAACCGACACAGGUGGUCAGGUAGAGAAUACCAAGGCGCUUGAGAGAACUCGGGUGAAGGAACUAGGCAAAAUGGUGCCGUAACUUCGGGAGAAGGCACGCUGAUAUGUAGGUGAAGUCCCUUGCGGAUGGAGCUGAAAUCAGUCGAAGAUACCAGCUGGCUGCAACUGUUUAUUAAAAACACAGCACUGUGCAAACACGAAAGUGGACGUAUACGGUGUGACGCCUGCCCGGUGCCGGAAGGUUAAUUGAUGGGGUCAGCGCAAGCGAAGCUCUUGAUCGAAGCCCCGGUAAACGGCGGCCGUAACUAUAACGGUCCUAAGGUAGCGAAAUUCCUUGUCGGGUAAGUUCCGACCUGCACGAAUGGCGUAAUGAUGGCCAGGCUGUCUCCACCCGAGACUCAGUGAAAUUGAACUCGCUGUGAAGAUGCAGUGUACCCGCGGCAAGACGGAAAGACCCCGUGAACCUUUACUAUAGCUUGACACUGAACAUUGAGCCUUGAUGUGUAGGAUAGGUGGGAGGCUUUGAAGUGUGGACGCCAGUCUGCAUGGAGCCGACCUUGAAAUACCACCCUUUAAUGUUUGAUGUUCUAACGUGGACCCGUGAUCCGGGUUGCGGACAGUGUCUGGUGGGUAGUUUGACUGGGGCGGUCUCCUCCUAAAGAGUAACGGAGGAGCACGAAGGUUGGCUAAUCCUGGUCGGACAUCAGGAGGUUAGUGCAAUGGCAUAAGCCAGCUUGACUGCGAGCGUGACGGCGCGAGCAGGUGCGAAAGCAGGUCAUAGUGAUCCGGUGGUUCUGAAUGGAAGGGCCAUCGCUCAACGGAUAAAAGGUACUCCGGGGAUAACAGGCUGAUACCGCCCAAGAGUUCAUAUCGACGGCGGUGUUUGGCACCUCGAUGUCGGCUCAUCACAUCCUGGGGCUGAAGUAGGUCCCAAGGGUAUGGCUGUUCGCCAUUUAAAGUGGUACGCGAGCUGGGUUUAGAACGUCGUGAGACAGUUCGGUCCCUAUCUGCCGUGGGCGCUGGAGAACUGAGGGGGGCUGCUCCUAGUACGAGAGGACCGGAGUGGACGCAUCACUGGUGUUCGGGUUGUCAUGCCAAUGGCACUGCCCGGUAGCUAAAUGCGGAAGAGAUAAGUGCUGAAAGCAUCUAAGCACGAAACUUGCC